CCUACGGGCGGCAGCAGUGGGGAAUAUUGCACAAUGGGGGAAACCCUGAUGCAGCGACGCCGCGUGAGCGAAGAAGGCUUUCGGUAUGUAAAGCUCUAUCAGCAGGGAAGAAAAUGACGGUACCUGACUAAGAAGCCCCGGCUAACUACGUGCCAGCAGCCGCGGUAAUACGUAGGGGGCAAGCGUUAUCCGGAUUUACUGGGCGUAAAGGGAGCGUCUGUGGCGUGGUAUGCCAGAGGUGAAAACCCGGGGCGCAACCCCGCGGAAUGCUUUUGGAACUAUCAGGUUGGAGUGCUGGAGGGGAAAGCGGAAUUCCUAGCGUAGCGGUGAAAUGCGUAGAUAUUAGGAGGAACACCAGUGGCGAAGGCGGCUUACUGGACAGAAACUGACACUGAGGCUCGAAAGCGUGGGGAGCAAACAGGAUUAGAUACCCCAGUAGUC
This 441-nucleotide ribosomal RNA is filed under the name uncultured bacterium. RNAcentral's name for it is "partial 16S ribosomal RNA". It matches the Rfam family "Bacterial small subunit ribosomal RNA", at positions 338 to 795 of the family's 1533-position model. The record is from RNAcentral.